ACACGUCUACAUUAGAUACCCGGGUAGUCCAGGGUGUAAACGCUGCAGACUUGGUGUUGGGGCCCUUUGGGGGCAUUCAGUGCCGGAGAGAAGUUGUUAAGUCUGCUACUUGGGAGUACGUCCGCAAGGAUGAAACUUAAAGGAAUUGGCGGGGAGCACCGCAACGGGAGGAGCGUGCGGUUUAAUCGGAUUCAACACCGUAAAACUCACCAGGGAAGACUGUUACAUGAAGGCCGAGAUGAAGACUCUGCUAGAUUUUCAG
RNAcentral lists this ribosomal RNA (262 nucleotides) under uncultured archaeon. RNAcentral's name for it is "partial 16S ribosomal RNA". It matches the Rfam family "Archaeal small subunit ribosomal RNA", at positions 717 to 982 of the family's 1478-position model. The record is from RNAcentral.